RNAcentral lists this long non-coding RNA (515 nucleotides) under Olea europaea (common olive). Its description in RNAcentral is "long non-coding RNA (OEUR_LNC000696)". Lineage: Eukaryota; Viridiplantae; Streptophyta; Magnoliopsida; Lamiales; Oleaceae. The record is from RNAcentral.
UCAAAUUUGCCAACACAUAGGAAUGUGAAUCAAGGUGUACAUGUAGCAUGGCUCCAAGAAAUAAAUUUAGCAACAACUAGGUCAAGAAAGGGAAAAACAACCUGCUUCUUUGAUGCGUGGAAAGGUUUUCCUUACUGUGGAAUGUUGAACCUUAACAGUUUCAUCAAAACUACAAGUUUCAGGCUUCCUAUUUUUAGAUUCCCUAGACUUGAGAUGUUGCAUUGAUGGUCGGUGUUGCACAACUGAAUUAGCAGGAUUGAGGUGCAACUGCAUGAAACAAGACGGUAUUGUGAAUGCUUAAAAUCAGUCAAACUUUGAAAAGAAACCAUAAGCAGGGAAUAUUGUUGUACAAAUAGAAUUAGUAAUGGAAAUGAAGUGAGUACUCAGAGAUUAUAGAACUUGCCUUAUUUUCUCAUCGAACCUCAACAAUAUACCCAAUUGUGCGAGGUGGUUUCCAUGAUGAAGCAAGAGUCUACCAAGAGAUUAGAAACAAAAAAAGAUUACGCAUAUUUUUC